UACAGAGGUCCCAAGCGUUGUUCGGAUUCAUUGGGCGUAAAGGGUGCGUAGGCGGCGCGGUAAGUCGGGUGUGAAAUCUCGGGGCUUAACUCCGAAACUGCAUUCGAUACUGCCGUGCUUGAGGACUGGAGAGGAGACUGGAAUUUACGGUGUAGCGGUGAAAUGCGUAGAUAUCGUAAGGAAGACCAGUGGCGAAGGCGACUUUCUGGUCUGUAACUGACGCUGAGGCGCGAAAGCGUGGGGAGCAAACAGG
Molecule: ribosomal RNA, 253 nt
Filed under: uncultured bacterium
Lineage: Bacteria
Description: partial 16S ribosomal RNA
Rfam family: Bacterial small subunit ribosomal RNA
Source: RNAcentral